This 460-nucleotide ribosomal RNA is filed under the name uncultured bacterium. Its description in RNAcentral is "partial 16S ribosomal RNA". It matches the Rfam family "Bacterial small subunit ribosomal RNA", at positions 338 to 795 of the family's 1533-position model. The record is from RNAcentral.
CCUACGGGGGGCUGCAGUGAGGAAUAUUGGUCAAUGGACGAGAGUCUGAACCAGCCAAGUAGCGUGAAGGAUGACUGCCCUAUGGGUUGUAAACUUCUUUUAUAUGGGAAUAAAAUGUUCCACGUGUGGGAUUUUGUAUGUACCAUAUGAAUAAGGAUCGGCUAACUCCGUGCCAGCAGCCGCGGUCAUACGGAGGAUCCGAGCGUUAUCCGGAUUUAUUGGGUUUAAAGGGAGCGUAGGUGGAUUGUUAAGUCAGUUGUGAAAGUUUGCGGCUCAACCGUAAAAUUGCAGUUGAAACUGGCAGUCUUGAGUACAGUAGAGGUGGGCGGAAUUCGUGGUGUAGCGGUGAAAUGCUUAGAUAUCACGAAGAACUCCGAUUGCGAAGGCAGUUCACUGGACUGCAACUGACACUGAGGCUCGAAAGUGUGGGUAUCAAACAGGAUUAGAUACCCUAGUAGUC